CCGGCGGUCAAGGAUGGACUCGCGUCCGUAUCAGGCUUGUUGGUGGGGGUAAUGGCCCACCAAGGCGACGACGGGUAGCCGGCCUGAGAGGGCGACCGGCCACAUUGGGACUGAGAUACGGCCCAAACUCCUACGGGAGGCAGCAGUGGGAAUAUUGCACAAUGGGCGCAAGCCUGAUGCAGCAACGCCGCGUGCGGGAAGACGGCCUUCGGGUUGUAAACCGCUUUCAGCAGGGACGAAGUGAAAAUGACGGUACCUGCAGAAGAAGCACCGGCUAACUACGUGCCAGCAGCCGCGGUGAUACGUAGGGUGCGAGCGUUGUCCGGAUUUAUUGGGCGUAAAGAGCUUGUAGGCGGUCAGUUGCGUCGAAAGUGCAAACUCAGGGCUUAACCCUGAGCCUGCUUUACGAUACGGGCUGACUAGAGGAAGGUAGGGGAG
This 438-nucleotide ribosomal RNA is filed under the name uncultured bacterium. RNAcentral's name for it is "bacterial SSU rRNA". It matches the Rfam family "Bacterial small subunit ribosomal RNA", at positions 212 to 659 of the family's 1533-position model. The record is from RNAcentral.